This 497-nucleotide ribosomal RNA is filed under the name uncultured bacterium. RNAcentral describes it as "partial 16S ribosomal RNA". It matches the Rfam family "Bacterial small subunit ribosomal RNA", at positions 28 to 507 of the family's 1533-position model. The record is from RNAcentral.
GACGAACGCUGGCGGCGUGCCUAAUACAUGCAAGUUGAGCGCUGAAGGUUGGUACUUGUACCAACUGGAUGAGCAGCGAACGGGUGAGUAACGCGUGGGGAAUCUGCCUUUGAGCGGGGGACAACAUUUGGAAACGAAUGCUAAUACCGCAUAAAAACUUUAAACACAAGUUUUAAGUUUGAAAGAUGCAAUUGCAUCACUCAAAGAUGAUCUCGCGUUGUAUUAGCUAGUUGGUGAGGUAAAGGCUCACCAAGGCGAUGAUACAUAGCCGACCUGAGAGGGUGAUCGGCCACAUUUGGACUGAGGCACGGCCCAAACUCCUACGGGAGGCAGCAGUAGGGAAUCUUCGGCAAUGGACGGAAGUCUGACCGAGCAACGCCGCGUGAGUGAAGAAGGUUUUCGGAUCGUAAAACUCUGUUGGUAGAGAAGAACGUUGGUGGGAGUGGAAAGCUCAUCAAGUGACGGUAACUACCCAGAAAGGGACGGCUAACUACGUG